RNAcentral lists this transfer RNA (90 nucleotides) under Thioalkalivibrio sp. RNAcentral describes it as "tRNA-Ser". It matches the Rfam family "tRNA". Rfam says of the family: Transfer RNA (tRNA) molecules are approximately 80 nucleotides in length. Their secondary structure includes four short double-helical elements and three loops (D, anti-codon, and T loops). Further hydrogen bonds mediate the characteristic L-shaped molecular structure. tRNAs have two regions of fundamental functional importance: the anti-codon, which is responsible for specific mRNA codon recognition, and the 3' end, to which the tRNAs corresponding amino acid is attached (by aminoacyl-tRNA synthetases). tRNAs cope with the degeneracy of the genetic code in two manners: having more than one tRNA (with a specific anti-codon) for a particular amino acid; and 'wobble' base-pairing, i.e. permitting non-standard base-pairing at the 3rd anti-codon position. Lineage: Bacteria; Pseudomonadati; Pseudomonadota; Gammaproteobacteria; Chromatiales; Ectothiorhodospiraceae. The record is from RNAcentral.
GGAGAAGUGGCAGAGCGGUUGAAUGCACCGGUCUUGAAAACCGGCAGGGGCGCGAGUCCCUCGAGGGUUCGAAUCCCUCCUUCUCCGCCA